UACGGAGGGUGCAAGCGUUAUCCGGAUUCACUGGGUUUAAAGGGUGCGUAGGCGGCCUAUUAAGUCAGGGGUGAAAGCCUCCCGCUCAACGGGAGAAUUGCCUUUGAAACUGAUUGGCUUGAGUGUAGUUGAAGUGGGCGGAAUACAGCAUGUAGCGGUGAAAUGCUUAGAUAUGCUGUAGAACACCAAUUGCGAAGGCAGCUCACUAAACUAUUACUGACGCUGAGGCACGAAAGCGUGGGUAGCGAACAGG
RNAcentral lists this unclassified non-coding RNA (253 nucleotides) under uncultured Chitinophagales bacterium. RNAcentral's name for it is "contains 16S-23S intergenic spacer region". It matches the Rfam family "Bacterial small subunit ribosomal RNA", at positions 524 to 776 of the family's 1533-position model. Lineage: Bacteria; Pseudomonadati; Bacteroidota; Chitinophagia; Chitinophagales. The record is from RNAcentral.